RNAcentral lists this ribosomal RNA (203 nucleotides) under uncultured Pseudomonas sp. Its description in RNAcentral is "partial 16S ribosomal RNA". It matches the Rfam family "Bacterial small subunit ribosomal RNA", at positions 335 to 526 of the family's 1533-position model. The record is from RNAcentral. Lineage: Bacteria; Pseudomonadati; Pseudomonadota; Gammaproteobacteria; Pseudomonadales; Pseudomonadaceae.
ACUCCUACGGGAGGCAGCAGUGGGGAAUAUUGGACAAUGGGCGAAAGCUGAUCCAGCCAUGCCGCGUGUGUGAAGAAGGUCUUCGGAUUGUAAAGCACUUUAAGUUUGAGGAGGAACGGCUAGUAAGUUUAUACCUUGCUGUUUUGACGUUACCCUCACCAAUAAGCGCCCGGCUAACUUCGUGCCAGCAGCCGCGGUAAUAC